Molecule: ribosomal RNA, 377 nt
Filed under: uncultured bacterium
Lineage: Bacteria
Description: bacterial SSU rRNA
Rfam family: Bacterial small subunit ribosomal RNA
Source: RNAcentral
ACUCCUACGGGAGGCAGCAGUGGGGAAUAUUGCACAAUGGGCGCAAGCCUGAUGCAGCCAUGCCGCGUGUAUGAAGAAGGCCUUCGGGUUGUAAAGUACUUUCAGCAGUGAGGAAGGUGGAGUCGUUAAUAGCGGCCUCAUUUGACGUUAGCUGCAGAAGAAGCACCGGCUAACUCCGUGCCAGCAGCCGCGGUAAUACGGAGGGUGCGAGCGUUAAUCGGAAUUACUGGGCGUAAAGCGCAUGCAGGUGGUUUGUUAAGUCAGAUGUGAAAGCCCGGGGCUCAACCUCGGAAUAGCAUUUGAAACUGGCAGACUAGAGUACUGUAGAGGGGGUUAGAAUUUCAGGUGUAGCGGUGAAAUGCGUAGAGAUCUGAAGG